UGAACAUGUGAUACUGUGAGACAGAAUAUGUGAUAGUGUGAUACUAAACAUGUGAUAGUGUGAUACUGAACAUGUAAUAGUGUGAUAUUGAAUAUGUGAUAGUAUGAGACUGAAAUUGUGAUACCGGGAUAUUGUUACUGAUACGGUGAUGCUGAUACUGUGAUACUGAUACUGAUACUAUGAUACUGAUAAUGAUAAAUGUGAUAUGAAGCACUAUACAAUGGGUCAUCCAUUGACAGUGUGAUGUGAUUUGCUAUGAUACUGAUAAAUGUGACAUGAAUCACUAUGCACUUGGUUAUCCAUUGAUAGUGUGAUGUGACACAAUGAGAUGUGAUAUGAGAGCAUGAACUUGCACCAUGAUGAGAUGUGAUGUGGGAGCAUGAACUUGUACCACGAUGAGAUGUGAUGUGGGAGCAUGGACUUAUACCACGAUGAAAUCUUUCCCUAACUCCUGAUGAUAGGAAGGGAGCUAGGAUGUGAUGUGAACUUGGCGAGGUCGCGCCCCCCAAGAUGUAUGGGCACUAUACAUUGGGACCCCUUUGGUAGUGUAAUGCCCUCUAGCAGGAUGCAAAGAGAGGACAGUGUCUUGUAAGGCCAAGAGCCUAUCAAUAGCCCCAAAGCCUGUUAGGGAUUGUGCGUGUGUGAGGACAAUACGAAGUAGAUCACCCACUUGUCAUUGUCUUCCCUUCUGAGUGAUGAUAGAGGUCCUAAGCAAUGGGAUUGACUUGGCCUGAUGAAUAGGACUUCUAUUUCGGGAGUAGGUGGACUAAGGAGUGAGUUAGCUGGUAAAUGUGGUGUUUGGCUAAGCAUAUGACUCUGAUAAGAUUAGUACUGUUGAGUAAAUAAAUGAUCUCCUUCCGUAUCAUAUCCAGUGGUAUAACAUGUUAUUGUUGCACUGUGAAUCAACUGUGAUACUCUGAUAGAUGUGGUUUUACCAUAUGACUCAUGUUUACUGAGGAUUGUGUUAUAAUAUCUUGUAAUUGUUAUAAAAUGAUAUUCUUAGGCAGGGAAGCAAGGUGUUGUGAUCGACUUACUGAGUUUUGUAGCUCAUUUCGUUUACUUCUCUCUUUGUAGAUUGAUAGCUAUAGGUUGAGGACAAGUGAGUGGCAAACGACAUUAACUACGUGAAGAUCCGCUCAACGAGAAAUCUUUCUUAGGCUGUAGGUAUCUGUUGGCUGUCGCCAUUCAGUGGUUUUAUUGUACAUGUUAUGUAUGUUUGUGAGGCCGUGUUGCCUCGGACCAAUUGUAAUGAUUUUGGGUUUUGUAUAUGUGUAACUUGAUAGUUUUUUUUAUUUAUCCGACUUUUUUU
This 1309-nucleotide long non-coding RNA is filed under the name Amborella trichopoda. Its description in RNAcentral is "long non-coding RNA (ATRI_LNC001927)". Lineage: Eukaryota; Viridiplantae; Streptophyta; Magnoliopsida; Amborellales; Amborellaceae. The record is from RNAcentral.